UAAGAUUGGCUUCCAUGUUUCUUAUAUUUCUCUCUAUUUUUGCAUGUUUUUCAGCCUUGGUAUCUAACUAUCCUACUCUCAAGUCUCAACUUCUGCUACUGUUAACACCUUUUUAACAGUAUAUGAUUAUUUGUAACCUAACAACUAUUCAAUUGAUCAAGUAUAUAAGCCAUGUUAUUAUAAGUUCUUUUCAUUCUAAACCCAUUUUCUUUUACUCACGAUUUAUCAAAAAAAAAAAAGAAAAAACCUUUCAUUCACUAUCUACUUGUUAUUGCCUUAACGUAGUCUCGUGUUCCACCAUGGCUAAAGAUGAACAAAGCUCAUAACUAAGAAGGGUCACCAAAUGAGCUUUGUAUCCAACAAAAAAACAACCAGCACCUCCCCAAAAUCUCACCACAAUUCAAUUUCCUAGAGUGACAAACCCCUCAAAGUGUCUUCUCAACAAUUUCAUCUCCUCUUACCUACAAUAUGAAAAGCAGUACCUAUACAAUUCAAGGUUUCAAAAAACAGUUUGUUACCGCCAAAACGACCACUACAAAACAGUAUUGGAAGGUGCUGAUACCGAUAUCGUUAUUCAUCGAUUUUAUAAUAAAGAACAAAUUUUGGUUAAUUCAUAUUAGGACAAUCGCAAUCAAUGUCACAACACAGACAUCGCAAAGUAGUACCUAUACAAUUCUAAACCCUUGAUACAAAUUUUAGAACCAUGAUAUAAAGUAGUACCAUAUUAGAACAAAUUUUGGUUAAUUCAUAAAACCUUGAUACAAUCCUAAUUCAAAAUACAUAGUUUACAUACAAAGUAGUACCUAUACAAUUCAAUCCUAAUUUAUAGAAGAAUAACUUUUUAUGACAAUAAAAUAAUAGUUAAAUUGUUUAAGUAAAAUUGGGAUUUGAGGGAGAGUAAAAUAAGUGUUCAUCAUAAAAACAGAAAAUUUGAAUUCAUAUACAGUUGAAUGAUUAAGGAGUUGAAACUAAUUAGAUACCUAAAUUUCACUAAAAAGAGUUAAAUUCAGAUUUGGGGAUGAAAUCUAGGUAGUUAUGCGGAAGGGGCGGCCCUUGGCCGCUCCAGUGAUGCCAGGUGCGCAAUACUGUUGCGGCUGCCUCGGAUGCAUUUCACGAGAACAACACGGCGGCGCAUGUAGCUGCCGUCGUGGAGUUUCGCGGCCGCUACAAUGAAGAUUUUUUGAAAAAGUAAAACAAAAUUAUGAAGAAGAAACAUGCCUGUGGAAUCCCAGUAGAAAGAAAAAGGAUGGCGAAGAAGAAAUGGAAGAUCACAAUGGAACCAGUGGCGUGCUUGAAUUGCAAUGGCGGUUGCUAGGUUUAACGAAGAGUAGUAACUCAAACUUUGCAAUGAAUUACAAUGACAGCUUCCACCAAUUAAAAAAUGACACGUGUAUUUCAAAUCAUUUAG
This 1408-nucleotide long non-coding RNA is filed under the name Lathyrus oleraceus (garden pea). Its description in RNAcentral is "Pisum sativum (pea) long non-coding RNA (PSAT_LNC021790)". Lineage: Eukaryota; Viridiplantae; Streptophyta; Magnoliopsida; Fabales; Fabaceae. The record is from RNAcentral.